This is a small nuclear RNA of Phyllostomus hastatus (greater spear-nosed bat), 104 nucleotides long. The record is from RefSeq and is a predicted model, not a curated record. NCBI's taxonomy places the organism in Eukaryota, Metazoa, Chordata, Mammalia, Chiroptera, Phyllostomidae.
GUGUUCCUUUGGCAGCACAUAUACUAAAAUUACAACUACACAGAUAAGAUUAACAUGAGCCCUGUUCAGAGGAGGCACAAAUUUCUGAAGUGUCCCAUAGUUUA